UGGAUCCUGUGGUGCCAUCCUGCACUGAGGGACUUUAUCUGCCCAAGUUUCUGCCUCCAACCCCAGCCAACAGAGCUCGGCUGUACACUCCUGCCAAUCAGACCCUGGAAAUCAGCAUCAAGGCAGAGGCAAAUGUCUCCACAAUUACUGAGCUGCUGUUCAGCGGGCCGCACAACACAAACCAGACAAAUUCAGGAGCAGGACAGUACAUCCUGAGAUGGACGCCGUCUGAAAACGAAGAUGGAGAAAGCCACCCCAUCUGCUUUGUCAUCCAGGCAGUUUUCAGUACAACCAAGUAUCACUCGGAGCUACGUUGUGUGAUUGUGAGUGUUGGAAACGGUGAGUGGAACCAUUCUUUAUUUUUUGUGUUUUAAAUUACGUUGCUGAUUUCCUGGAUUGGUAAAAUUUACUUGUCACUUCUGUUUACAGCCCCAACAACAACUACAACCAUUGAUCCAACUACAACAACCACACAAAGUACAACCACCAUUCCCUCAACAGCUAUCCCACUACCUACAACCACUACCCCAUCCACAACUACUACACCACAAAUUACAACAACUACACCACCAACUACAACCACUACCCCAUCCACAACUACUACACCACAAAUUACAACAACUACACCACCAACUACAACCACUACCCCAUCCACAACUGCUACACCACAAAUUACAACAACUACUGCACCAACUACCACCACACAAACGACUGUUCCCUCAACAACUACCCCACCAACUACAACCACUACCCCAUCCACAACUACUACACCACAAAUUACAACAACUACUGCACCAACUACCACAAAAACGACUGUCCCUCAACAACUACCACCAACUACAACCACUACCCCAUCCACAACUACUACACCACAAAUUACAACAACUACACCACCAACUACAACCACACCCCAUCACAACUACUACACCACCAACUACAACCACUACCCCAUCCACAACUGCUACACCACAAAUUACAACAACUACUGCACCAACUACAACCACUACCCCAUCCACAACUGCUACACCACAAAUUACAACAACUACCGCACCAACUACAACCACUACCCCAUCCACAACUACUACACCACAAAUUACAACAACUACACCACCAACUACAACCACUACCCCAUCCACAACUGCUACACCACAAAUUACAACAACUACACCACCAACUACAACCACUACCCCAUCCACAACUACUACACCACAAAUUACAACAACUACACCACCAACUACAACCACUACCCCAUCCACAACUACUACACCACAAAUUACAACAACUACUGCACCAACUACCACCACACAAACCACCUUUCCCUCAACAACUACCCCACUAGGUACGACCACAAUCAAUGAAACCACUACAGCUCCUUCUACAACCACUACACCAACUACAACACCAACACCUGUAACCGAAGCCUCGAACCAAAUUGUUGCAGCUCUGAAAAUAAGGAUUACCUCUACGUCUCCCCUGUCUGAGGACUACAUCAGAAAUACUGGCCUACAACAGAUUAAAGAUGAACUGGUGAGACGAGGGCUGCCAUCAAACAUCACUCUACGGCUUGUGAGUAGUGUGCAACUGCAACCUACAACCACAGCGCCCCCUGUUGUUUCAACGUGA
This 1623-nucleotide long non-coding RNA is filed under the name Dicentrarchus labrax (European seabass). RNAcentral's name for it is "lncRNA (ENSDLAG00005034924.1)". The record is from RNAcentral. Lineage: Eukaryota; Metazoa; Chordata; Actinopteri; Moronidae.